This 406-nucleotide ribosomal RNA is filed under the name uncultured bacterium. Its description in RNAcentral is "partial 16S ribosomal RNA". It matches the Rfam family "Bacterial small subunit ribosomal RNA", at positions 30 to 526 of the family's 1533-position model. The record is from RNAcentral.
AUUGAACGCUGGCGGCAGGCCUAACACAUGCAAGUCGAACGAGUGGCGGACGGGUGAGUAAUGUCUGGGAAACUGCCUGAUGGAGGGGGAUAACUACUGGAAACGGUAGCUAAUACCGCAUACCAUCAGAUGUGCCCAGAUGGGAGUAGCUAGUUGGUGGGGUAACGGCUCACCAAGGAGACGAUCCCUCGCUGGUCUGAGAGGAUGACCUGCAAAAUUUGAACUGAGACACGGUCAAUACUCCUACGGGAGGUAGCAGUGGGGAAGAUUGCACAAGGGGCGCAAGCCUGAUGCAGCCAUGCCGCGUGUAUGAAGAAGGCCUUCGGGUUGUAAAGUACUUUCAGCGGGGAGGCGUUACCCGCAGAAGAAGCACCGGCUAACUCCGUGCCAGCAGCCGCGGUAAUUC